Molecule: transfer RNA, 302 nt
Filed under: uncultured Pseudomonadota bacterium
Lineage: Bacteria; Pseudomonadati; Pseudomonadota
Description: uncultured proteobacterium partial 16S-23S ribosomal RNA intergenic spacer
Rfam family: tRNA (bases 178-251)
Source: RNAcentral
UCGCGGCUGGAUCACUCCUUUCUAAGGAGUCUUUGACUCUAAAGAAAAUCUAGAGCCAAGGGCCACCUCUUCAAUACAUACUUACAUCAAUGUCAUGCAUCGUGAGGGUUCAGACGGCGAAUCUCCGUCGGGAGAUGUCGACCGAGAGCACGGGCCCUGGUCGCUUCAGACUCAGCUGGGCCUGUAGCUCAGUUGGUUAGAGCACGCGCUUGAUAAGCGCGGGGUGGAUAGUUCAACUCUAUCCAGGCACACCAUCUGAGUCCUGAUCUGCCGGGCGCAUCCCGCACGCAAGCCGGCCCAGA